GUACUGCUGAGGAGUCCCACGACGGGACGAAAUGGCUGUCCAGUAC
RNAcentral lists this non-coding RNA (46 nucleotides) under Schistosoma haematobium. Lineage: Eukaryota; Metazoa; Platyhelminthes; Trematoda; Strigeidida; Schistosomatidae. The record is from RNAcentral.